AAAAAUCAGGCCCAAUCAGAUGAAUGAACUGCAGAUUCUUACCAGGGACAUGAGAGGAGUCAGCAAGUGAAACAGAAGAGCAGGAGGAAUGUUUCUCCCCGUCCUGCCCUGUGCAGAAUCACUGGGAACAGAUCCAUCACUGAUGUCGUGACGGCUUCCACUGCAACAAACUUCAAAGGGACAGUCAUAUAGUUAUGGAAGAAUAUGAGACAAAAUAAUUAUGAUGAAGAAACAAACAGCCCACAACUGAGGGAGAGACAUCAUGACUACUGCCUGGGGAUAAUCUAUGAGCACUAGUCCUGGACCUGUCAGAGACAGUGUGGGAUUGGAUGUUGGAUGCAUGUUUAAUGGCGGAUUGGCAGACCAACAUAAAUGGUGCAUUUCCACCACCUACUGAUCUGGAGUGUGGAGUGUACUUGGCUUUGGAAGAAUUUUUUUAUUUUUUAUUCUAUUUACUAUUCCUGUUUUAUUUAGAUAUUUAAAUAAUAAUUCAUGAAUUCUUGAUUGUCUUGUCCCAUUUCCUAGUAAUACUUUUAUUGAAAUUGUAUUAACUCCCAUCCUUCCUAACUCUU
This is a long non-coding RNA of Carassius auratus (goldfish), 572 nucleotides long. RefSeq lists it as uncharacterized. NCBI's taxonomy places the organism in Eukaryota, Metazoa, Chordata, Actinopteri, Cypriniformes, Cyprinidae. The record is from RefSeq and is a predicted model, not a curated record. The transcript is spliced from 4 exons.